RNAcentral lists this ribosomal RNA (347 nucleotides) under uncultured fungus. RNAcentral's name for it is "eukaryotic LSU rRNA". The stretch from base 1 to 105 matches the Rfam family "5.8S ribosomal RNA", at positions 50 to 154 of the family's 154-position model. Lineage: Eukaryota; Fungi. The record is from RNAcentral.
GAAAUGCGAUAAGUAAUGUGAAUUGCAGAAUUCAGUGAAUCAUCGAAUCUUUGAACGCACCUUGCGCUCCUUGGUAUUCCGAGGAGCAUGCCUGUUUGAGUGUCAUGGAAUUCUCAACUCUAUUUGCUUUUGUGAAUAGAGCUUGGACUUGGAGGUUUAUUGCCGGUACCUGUGAUCGGCUCCUCUUGAAUGCAUUAGCUCGAACCUUUUGUGGAUCAGCUUAUCGGUGUGAUAAAAUGUCUACGCCGUUACUGUGAAGCAUAUUAUUCGGCUUCCAAUCGUCCUUCACGGGACAAUAACUUUGACCUUUGACCUCAAAUCAGGUAGGAUUACCCGGCUGAACUUAA